UUGAGCUUGAUCCCUGGCUCAGAUUGAACGCUGGCGGCAUGCCUUACACAUGCAAGUCGAACGGCAGCGCGGGGCAACCUGGCGGCGAGUGGCGAACGGGUGAGUAAUAUAUCGGAACGUACCCUGGAGUGGGGGAUAACGUAGCGAAAGUUACGCUAAUACCGCAUACGAUCUAAGGAUGAAAGUGGGGGAUCGCAAGACCUCAUGCUCCUGGAGCGGCCGAUAUCUGAUUAGCUAGUUGGUGGGGUAAAGGCCUACCAAGGCAUCGAUCAGUAGCUGGUCUGAGAGGACGACCAGCCACACUGGAACUGAGACACGGUCCAGACUCCUACGGGAGGCAGCAGUGGGGAAUUUUGGACAAUGGGCGAAAGCCUGAUCCAGCAAUGCCGCGUGAGUGAAGAAGGCCUUCGGGUUGUAAAGCUCUUUUGUCAGGGAAGAAACGGUGAGGGCUAAUAUCCCUUGCUAAUGACGGUACCUGAAGAAUAAGCACCGGCUAACU
Molecule: ribosomal RNA, 499 nt
Filed under: Duganella sp. CL1.144
Lineage: Bacteria; Pseudomonadati; Pseudomonadota; Betaproteobacteria; Burkholderiales; Oxalobacteraceae
Description: bacterial SSU rRNA
Rfam family: Bacterial small subunit ribosomal RNA
Source: RNAcentral